This 1495-nucleotide ribosomal RNA is filed under the name Streptococcus agalactiae. RNAcentral's name for it is "bacterial SSU rRNA". It matches the Rfam family "Bacterial small subunit ribosomal RNA". The record is from RNAcentral. Lineage: Bacteria; Bacillati; Bacillota; Bacilli; Lactobacillales; Streptococcaceae.
AUACAUGCAAGUAGAACGCUGAGGUUUGGUGUUUACACUAGACUGAUGAGUUGCGAACGGGUGAGUAACGCGUAGGUAACCUGCCUCAUAGCGGGGGAUAACUAUUGGAAACGAUAGCUAAUACCGCAUAAGAGUAAUUAACACAUGUUAGUUAUUUAAAAGGAGCAAUUGCUUCACUGUGAGAUGGACCUGCGUUGUAUUAGCUAGUUGGUGAGGUAAAGGCUCACCAAGGCGAUGAUACAUAGCCGACCUGAGAGGGUGAUCGGCCACACUGGGACUGAGACACGGCCCAGACUCCUACGGGAGGCAGCAGUAGGGAAUCUUCGCAAUGGACGGAAGUCUGACCGAGCAACGCCGCGUGAGUGAAGAAGGUUUUCGGAUCGUAAAGCUCUGUUGUUAGAGAAGAACGUUGGUAGGAGUGGAAAAUCUACCAAGUGACGGUAACUAACCAGAAAGGGACGGCUAACUACGUGCCAGCAGCCGCGGUAAUACGUAGGUCCCGAGCGUUGUCCGGAUUUAUUGGGCGUAAAGCGAGCGCAGGCGGUUCUUUAAGUCUGAAGUUAAAGGCAGUGGCUUAACCAUUGUACGCUUUGGAAACUGGAGGACUUGAGUGCAGAAGGGGAGAGUGGAAUUCCAUGUGUAGCGGUGAAAUGCGUAGAUAUAUGGAGGAACACCGGUGGCGAAAGCGGCUCUCUGGUCUGUAACUGACGCUGAGGCUCGAAAGCGUGGGGAGCAAACAGGAUUAGAUACCCUGGUAGUCCACGCCGUAAACGAUGAGUGCUAGGUGUUAGGCCCUUUCCGGGGCUUAGUGCCGCAGCUAACGCAUUAAGCACUCCGCCUGGGGAGUACGACCGCAAGGUUGAAACUCAAAGGAAUUGACGGGGGCCCGCACAAGCGGUGGAGGCAUGUGGUUUAAUUCGAAGCAACGCGAAGAACCUUACCAGGUCUUGACAUCCUUCUGACCGGCCUAGAGAUAGGCUUUCUCUUCGGAGCAGAAGUGACAGGUGGUGCAUGGUUGUCGUCAGCUCGUGUCGUGAGAUGUUGGGUUAAGUCCCGCAACGAGCGCAACCCCUAUUGUUAGUUGCCAUCAUUAAGUUGGGCACUCUAGCGAGACUGCCGGUAAUAAACCGGAGGAAGGUGGGGAUGACGUCAAAUCAUCAUGCCCCUUAUGACCUGGGCUACACACGUGCUACAAUGGUUGGUACAACGAGUCGCAAGCCGGUGACGGCAAGCUAAUCUCUUAAAGCCAAUCUCAGUUCGGAUUGUAGGCUGCAACUCGCCUACAUGAAGUCGGAAUCGCUAGUAAUCGCGGAUCAGCACGCCGCGGUGAAUACGUUCCCGGGCCUUGUACACACCGCCCGUCACACCACGAGAGUUUGUAACACCCGAAGUCGGUGAGGUAACCUUUUAGGAGCCAGCCGCCUAAGGUGGGAUAGAUGAUUGGGGUGAAGUUCGUAACAAGGUAGCCGUAUCGGAAGGUGCGGCUGGAUCACCU